This is a long non-coding RNA of Harpegnathos saltator (Jerdon's jumping ant), 1478 nucleotides long. RefSeq lists it as uncharacterized. The record is from RefSeq and is a predicted model, not a curated record. The transcript is spliced from 4 exons. Lineage: Eukaryota; Metazoa; Arthropoda; Insecta; Hymenoptera; Formicidae.
UCUCUCUCUCUCUCUCUCUCUUUGUUCCCUGUUGCUACGUAUGUGUAAGUGCGGGUGUGCGUGUGCGCGUUUCUUUCUCGCCUCGUCACGCCUCGCUUCGUCCCGUCUCAUCUCUGUCUUCUCCUCUGCUCUCUUCUUCUCCUCUCCUCCUCUUGUUGUGUGUCUCCACCUCGACUUCGCUCGUUGCCGCGAAAGUGGCAGGUUUGCGCGAGCGAAUAAAAUCGGUGGAAGACGAUGUAGAGGAGAAGGAGGAAUAGAGAGGGAGGAGGAGGAGGGGGAGGAGGGAGAAAGGAGGAACUGAGGUGAUGAUAAUCGCGGAGGCGAGAAGAAACGCCGGGGAUGCCGUAAGAAAUCCCCCGUGCGUUACGGUGCGUGAAUGAAGUCGCGAAAUAGUCCAGGCGAAGAACGUAAUUCGGUGGUGACGACAACGAGGGGGUUGUGAGGACGGGCGAAGAAAUUGCGAAAGUGUGAGAAAGAUUUCAAGUGGGAGUGAUAAAUUUGAAAGGAAAUUCUAGCAGCUCGCAAAGCACGGCGAGAAUAUUUUUUCUUUCGCCGGAGAAAGAUUAAAAGAAAAGAAAAAAGAAAUAUCGCCGGUGAGCUGCUACGGCGGUUUGUGCGAAUCGCGGUGAUCGCGCGCGAGUAUCGCCGUCGGAGAAGCCCAAAGUGGGGAGGAGAGAGAAAUAGGGGGAGCGCAGAAGCCGAAAAUCCAGGCCGUUUCUUCGCGCGGCGAAGAAGAAGAAGAAGACGCGAAGACUCUGUGUGUUACCGCGAGAGCAUCCGUAAAUAUGCCGACAAGGCUCGAUCAGACGAACGUCUUGCCCGGUCGAAAGAAACGUCGUAGCCGUCUGCCAUUUUCUCUUGUUUUCUUCGCCCUGCGGAAACAAUUGUGACGACGCAAGACAGAGAGAGAGAGAGAGAGAGAGAGAGAGAGAGAGAGAGAGAGAGAGAGAGAGAGAGAGAGAGAGAGAGAGAGAGAGAGAGAGAGAGAGAGACAUCAUGUGAGGGUAGAGUGUCCGCGCCCAGCGCGGCCAACAUGAAUCGUCGAGUGUUUCCGAAGUGCGACAACAAUUUCGGGCUCUUCUUCAGUUCGGCACGCUCCGCUGCCGAGAGUAAUUGCUAACGCGCCGCGAGGAUCCGAGAACUCAUAAGUGACGAGAGACGCGCUUAUCCCCGACAAAGGAGACACGACCAGGAGCUGAUUUCAGGACUCCUCCGAGCCACCCUCGCCGAGGCUCUUCAUGGCGGGCGAAUAAGAGACAACGGCAGCCGUGCGAUAGCUGACGGAUGGGAACAUGAUUCCGGUACGGCGGAUCCGGCGAACCCGACGGAAAGCCAGAAGAAGAGCGUCCUGAGGUCAACGAGACGCGGGCACUGCGGGGAUAUGGAUGCUCGCGAGGACGGCGGGGCCGCUCGAACGAGAGGCUCCAAUUUGUUGACUUAACGACCACUAUUCCGGGCGAAUCACGACGUGCGUCCGG